AUACGGAGGGUGCAAGCGUUACUCGGAAUCACUGGGCGUAAAGCGCGCGCAGGCGGGCUGAUAAGUUGGAUGUGAAAGCCUACGGCUCAACCGUAGAACUGCAUCCAAAACUGUCAGUCUAGAGUCUGGGAGGGGAAGAUGGAAUUAGUUGUGUAGGGGUAAAAUCCGUAGAGAUAACUAGGAAUACCAAAAGCGAAGGCGAUCUUCUGGAACAGUACUGACGCUGAGGCGCGAAAGCGUGGGGAGCGAACAGGAUUAGAAACCCUAGUAGUCC
This 274-nucleotide ribosomal RNA is filed under the name uncultured bacterium. RNAcentral describes it as "partial 16S ribosomal RNA". It matches the Rfam family "Bacterial small subunit ribosomal RNA", at positions 523 to 796 of the family's 1533-position model. The record is from RNAcentral.